GAUGAACGCUGGCGGCGUGCUUAACACAUGCAAGUCGAACGAUGAAGCCCAGCUUGCUGGGUAGAUUAGUGGCGAACGGGUGAGUAACACGUGAGUAACCUGCCCUUGACUCUGGGAUAAGCCUGGGAAACUGGGUCUAAUACUGGAUAUGACUUCUCAUCGCAUGGUGGGGGGUGGAAAGAUUUAUUGGCCUUGGAUGGACUCGCGGCCUAUCAGCUUGUUGGUGAGGUAAUGGCUCACCAAGGCGACGACGGGUAGCCGGCCUGAGAGGGUGACCGGCCACACUGGGACUGAGACACGGCCCAGACUCCUACGGGAGGCAGCAGUGGGGAAUAUUGCACAAUGGGCGCAAGCCUGAUGCAGCGACGCCGCGUGAGGGAUGACGGCCUUCGGGUUGUAAACCUCUUUCAGUAGGGAAGAAGCGAGAGUGACGGUACCUGCAGAAGAAGCGCCGGCUAACUACGUG
Molecule: ribosomal RNA, 466 nt
Filed under: uncultured bacterium
Lineage: Bacteria
Description: partial 16S ribosomal RNA
Rfam family: Bacterial small subunit ribosomal RNA
Source: RNAcentral